UACGUAGGGGGCGAGCGUUGUCCGGAUUUAUUGGGCGUAAAGAGCUCGUAGGCGGUUCGGCAAGUCAGAUGUAAAAACUCCAGGCUCAACUUGGAGAGGCCAUCUGAUACUGCCGUGACUAGAGUCCGGUAGAGGAGCACGGAAUUCCUGGUGUAGCGGUGAAAUGCGCAGAUAUCAGGAGGAACACCGGUGGCGAAGGCGGCUUCCUGGACCGACACUGACGCUGAGGCGCGAAAGCUAGGGGAGCAAACGGG
This 254-nucleotide ribosomal RNA is filed under the name uncultured bacterium. RNAcentral's name for it is "partial 16S ribosomal RNA". It matches the Rfam family "Bacterial small subunit ribosomal RNA", at positions 524 to 776 of the family's 1533-position model. The record is from RNAcentral.